This 268-nucleotide long non-coding RNA is filed under the name Bos taurus (domestic cattle). RNAcentral describes it as "long non-coding RNA NONBTAT023307". The record is from RNAcentral. Lineage: Eukaryota; Metazoa; Chordata; Mammalia; Artiodactyla; Bovidae.
GGGGUGCAUUUGAUUUUCAAAUUGGGUACUUUUAACACUUUAGUGCCUGACUGCUGUUCUUCACUGACUUGACUCAGUCACUCGUAGCUUUAUUGGUCUGAACCAGCUCCUUGUUCCCAGGUUGCAGACCUGCCUAUCGUUCCAGUAAUCCUGUUUCACUUGAAUGAAGGGAGUAUGUCUUAAAUGUAAAGCUUCUGGUUCUCAACACUGUACUCUGAGGUCCAAAUGACUGUCUGUCAAUGUAUAACCUGAUGUCUCAACCCCCAGU